This 753-nucleotide ribosomal RNA is filed under the name uncultured bacterium. RNAcentral's name for it is "bacterial SSU rRNA". It matches the Rfam family "Bacterial small subunit ribosomal RNA", at positions 8 to 796 of the family's 1533-position model. The record is from RNAcentral.
AGAGUUUGAUCAUGGCUCAGAAUCAACGCUGGCGGCGNUAACACAUGCAAGUCGCACGAGAAAGUGGAGCAAUCCAUGAGUACAGUGGCGUACGGGUGAGUAACGCGUGGAUCAUCUACCUUUUAGUGGGGAAUACCUCCUGGAAACGGGAGACAAUACCGCAUAAUCUCGCGAGAGGAAAGCAGCAAUGCGCUGAAAGAGGAGUCCGCGGCCGAUUAGCUAGUUGGCGGGGUAACGGCCCACCAAGGCGAAGAUCGGUAGCCGGCCUGAGAGGGCUCACGGCCACACUGGCACUGAAACACGGGCCAGACUCCUACGGGAGGCAGCAGUGGGGAAUCUUGCACAAUGGAGGAAACUCUGAUGCAGCGACGCCGCGUGAGCGAUGAAGCCCUUCGGGGUGUAAAGCUCUUUCGACGGGAACGAUAAUGACGGUACCCGAAGAAGAAGCUGCGGCUAACUACGUGCCAGCAGCCGCGGUAAUACGUAGGCAGCAAGCGUUGUUCGGAAUUACUGGGCGUAAAGAGUGUGUAGGCGGUGCUCUAAGUCUGUCGUGAAACCUCCCGGCUUAACUGGGAGGGUGCGGCGGAAACUGGAGUGCUCGAGGGUGGGAGAGGAAAGCGGAAUUCCUGGUGUAGCGGUGAAAUGCGUAGAUAUCAGGAGGAACACCUGCGGUGUAGACAGCUUUCUGGACCACUUCUGACGCUGAGACACGAAAGCGUGGGUAGCAAACAGGAUUAGAUACCCUAGUAGUCC